UACGGAGGGUGCAAGCGUUGUCCGGAUUCAUUGGGUUUAAAGGGCGCGCAGGCGGGCGAUUAAGUCAGGGGUGAAAGACGGUUGCUCAACAAUCGCAGUGCCUUUGAUACUGGUUGUCUUGGGUGACCUUGAGGUAGGCGGAAUGGGUGGUGUAGCGGUGAAAUGCAUAGAUACCACCCAGAACUCCGAUUGCGAAGGCAGCCUACUGGAGGUUCACCGACGCUCAGGCACGAAAGCGUGGGGAUCAAACAGG
RNAcentral lists this ribosomal RNA (253 nucleotides) under uncultured bacterium. Its description in RNAcentral is "partial 16S ribosomal RNA". It matches the Rfam family "Bacterial small subunit ribosomal RNA", at positions 524 to 776 of the family's 1533-position model. The record is from RNAcentral.